GCAGGAGUAGCUCAGUUGGUUAGAGCGCGUGGCUGUUAACCUCAAGGUCGAAGGUUUAAGUCCUUCCUCUAGCG
Transfer RNA from Ipomoea nil (Japanese morning glory), 74 nucleotides. It matches the Rfam family "tRNA". From Rfam's summary of the family: Transfer RNA (tRNA) molecules are approximately 80 nucleotides in length. Their secondary structure includes four short double-helical elements and three loops (D, anti-codon, and T loops). The record is from Rfam. NCBI's taxonomy places the organism in Eukaryota, Viridiplantae, Streptophyta, Magnoliopsida, Solanales, Convolvulaceae.